GAUGAAGAACGUAGUGAAAUGCGAUAAGUAAUGUGAAUUGCAGAAUCCAGUGAAUCAUCGAAUCUUUGAACGCACAUUGCGCCCGCCAGCAUUCUGGCGGGAAUGCCUGUUCGAGCGUCAUUUCAACCCUCGACCUCCCUUUGGGGAAGUCGGCGUUGGGGACCGGCAGCACACCGCCGGCCCUGAAAUGGAGUGGCGGCCCGUCCGCGGCGACCUCUGCGUAGUAAACCAACUCGCACCGGAACCCCGACGUGGCCACGCCGUAAAACGCCCAACUUCUGAACGUUGACCUCGAAUCAGGUAGGACUACCCGCUGAACUUAAGCAUAUCAAUACGCGGAGGA
RNAcentral lists this unclassified non-coding RNA (343 nucleotides) under soil metagenome. Its description in RNAcentral is "partial contains 5.8S ribosomal RNA, internal transcribed spacer 2, and large subunit ribosomal RNA". The stretch from base 1 to 120 matches the Rfam family "5.8S ribosomal RNA", at positions 35 to 154 of the family's 154-position model. The record is from RNAcentral.